This 468-nucleotide ribosomal RNA is filed under the name uncultured bacterium. RNAcentral describes it as "partial 16S ribosomal RNA". It matches the Rfam family "Bacterial small subunit ribosomal RNA", at positions 28 to 507 of the family's 1533-position model. The record is from RNAcentral.
GACGAACGCUGGCGGCGUGCUUAACACAUGCCAGUCGAACGGAAAGGCCCUGCUUUUGUGGGGUGCUCGAGUGGCGAACGGGUGAGUAACACGUGAGUAACCUGCCCUUGACUUUGGGAUAACUUCAGGAAACUGGGGCUAAUACCGGAUAGGAGCUCCUGCUGCAUGGUGGGGGUUGGAAAGUUUCGGCGGUUGGGGAUGGACUCGCGGCUUAUCAGCUUGUUGGUGGGGUAGUGGCUUACCAAGGCUUUGACGGGUAGCCGGCCUGAGAGGGUGACCGGCAACAGUGGGACUGAGAUACGGCCCAGACUCCUACGGGAGGCAGCAGUGGGGAAUAUUGCACAAUGGGCGGAAGCCUGAUGCAGCAACGCCGCGUGCGGGAUGACGGCCUUCGGGUUGUAAACCGCUUUCGCCUGUGACGAAGCGUGAGUGACGGUAAUGGGUAAAGAAGCACCGGCUAACUACGUG